This 179-nucleotide non-coding RNA is filed under the name Pseudoramibacter porci. RNAcentral's name for it is "Eubacteriaceae bacterium RF-744-FAT-4 6S RNA". It matches the Rfam family "6S / SsrS RNA". Rfam says of the family: E. coli 6S RNA was the first non coding RNA to be sequenced, but its function was unknown until recently. It consists of 184 nucleotides that fold into an extended hairpin structure with a large single-stranded internal bulge. Lineage: Bacteria; Bacillati; Bacillota; Clostridia; Eubacteriales; Eubacteriaceae. The record is from RNAcentral.
GAUAUCCUGAAGUGUUCGUUACCACACUAUUUUUGAACCUACAUCUUUUUACAGGGAGUCUGGAUGUUCUUUGCUCGAUGCCGAGCCACUUCGAGUGGAUGGCAAAGGAUGCGAAGACAAGACACCCACCUAGCAUCCGCUAGGCGUCAAAAAUAUGGGACGGCACAUUCGGGAUUUUU